This 1508-nucleotide long non-coding RNA is filed under the name Marmota monax (woodchuck). The record is from RNAcentral. Lineage: Eukaryota; Metazoa; Chordata; Mammalia; Rodentia; Sciuridae.
CAGCUGGAAGUUUGCUGGGGCCCCUUCAGCUGUGGCUCUCAACAACUGUGUUCUGCUUUGUUGUACUGAGUGCAUUUUCUGCUGGUUGAGCUGGGAGUCUCAGCACAGGGAGCACCUUGGACCAGGGUCUCUCUGACUACAGGGUCCUUGGUUUCAAGUGUCAACAAUGGCCCUGAAAUCAGCCUGGAUGGAGAACGUAAGACACAAUGUUCAGACUCUGCCUCGCCCCUCGGGGUGGGAGCAAGAGCCAGAGCCUGCAGGUAGCAGCAGCUGGAAGAAGGAGGGUGCUUGUCACUGAUAUGAACCUGGCCUCUCUGUGUGUGCUUGAGUCUGGCUUUUUCUGAGCCCUUCCCUCUUCUUCUCCACAUUCACACAGUCCACACAUCUGAAAGUGGGAAGUAGACUCAGAGGGCCAAAACCCACCAUUUCCACCAAACCCCUUUGUUUUUGUUUCAUUUGGUCAUGGAUGAGGAAACAGGAAGUCCAAAAUGCCUCCCUGUGAAGGAGCUGAGUCUCUAACACCAAGCCCAGGGUCACGCUUCCCUGCAAGCCCUGGAGAGGCAGCACUGAAGCACAGUGUUUAGUCAGCUUUUUGUCACUGUGACCAAAAGACCUGAAAAACUCAGAAUAAGAAGAGUUUAUGCUGAUGCAUGACUUCAGAGAUUCCAUCUAUGGUCAACUGACUCUAGAGCUCUGGGCCCCAGGUGGUGCAGGACAUGUAGCAGAAGGGCAUGGUUAAAGAGGAAAGCAGCUCAGAUCAUGGCCACCAGGAAGCAGAGAGAGGGCUCCACUCACCAGGAACAAACUAAACCCAAGGGCACAUCCCCAGGGACCUUCUUCCUCCAGCCACAGCCUAUCUGCCUAUAGUUAUCGCUCAGUCAAUCCAUCCAUGCAGAUUUAACUGCUGAUCUGGUUAAAGCUCAUGAUCCACUCAUUUCAUCUCUGCCUGUUCUUACAUUGUCUCACACAUGAGCUUCUGGGGGACACCUCAUGUCUAAAUCAUGAUGCACCAUAUGAAGGCCAUCUUUUACCUUUGUCAAUGCUACCACAAGGACAUGAGUGCAAAUGCCAGCCUCACUACCAGAUACCUAGGCCUGUCAUUCAACUCAUAAGUAUGGAUGGACUCACACACUUAUAGAAUCUUACAGUAGACAUAGGUUUUCAACAACGUAAUGAGGAGCAGAAGAUGCACCCAGACCAAAGGAAGUCCUUUCCAAUGCUGCCCAUACCACCUCCAGAGCCCUUUUCCAAAUGGUAUGGAAUUCUGAAAAAGUACUGCCUCAUGCUGGCCAGAGCAGUGGCUUCAUCUUUCUAUGUCCCCCAGGAGUUGCGAAUAUCUCAUGCCACAAUGUAAAAUCCUACAGCUGAGUUCAAUUCUGCAUGUGACUAAUGCAACUGUUUAUUACAUGAAAGACAAAUUCAAAGAGACUCAGUCCUACACAAUGAGUAAAUAUUUAAAAAGUGCAAAUAAUUAUAAAAGAGAAAAAAUAUCUAUUUUAUUGUAUUUU